AUUGAACGCUGGCGGCGUGCCUAACACAUGCAAGUCGAGCGAGCGGCGGACGGGUGAGUAAUGUCUGGGUACUGCCCGAUAGAGGUGGAUAACUACUGGAAACGGUAGCUAAUACCGCAUACUAUCGGAUUACCAAUAUGGGAUUAGCUAGUAGGUGAGGUAAUGGCUUACCUAGGCGACGAUCCCUAGCUGGUCUGAGAGGCUGAUCAGCCACACUGGGACUGAGACACGGCCCAGACUCCUACGGAGGCAGCAGUGGGGAAUAUUGCGCAAUGGGCGCAAGCCUGAUGCAGCCAUCCCGCGUGUAUGAUGAAGGCCUUCGGGUUGUAAAGUACUGUUGUCAGAGAAGCGGUAUCUGCAGAAUAAGCACCGGCUAACUACGUGCCAGCAGCCGCGGUAAUUC
This 403-nucleotide ribosomal RNA is filed under the name uncultured bacterium. Its description in RNAcentral is "partial 16S ribosomal RNA". It matches the Rfam family "Bacterial small subunit ribosomal RNA", at positions 30 to 526 of the family's 1533-position model. The record is from RNAcentral.